ACUCCUGUAGCCCAACUGGAAGAGGCGGCUGUCUCAAAAACAGUCUGUGUACGGGUUCAACUCCCGUCAGGAGUACCA
This 78-nucleotide transfer RNA is filed under the name Nostoc sp. RNAcentral's name for it is "tRNA-Leu". It matches the Rfam family "tRNA". From Rfam's summary of the family: Transfer RNA (tRNA) molecules are approximately 80 nucleotides in length. Their secondary structure includes four short double-helical elements and three loops (D, anti-codon, and T loops). Lineage: Bacteria; Bacillati; Cyanobacteriota; Cyanophyceae; Nostocales; Nostocaceae. The record is from RNAcentral. RNAcentral also lists the same sequence under 2 other names.